Molecule: ribosomal RNA, 118 nt
Filed under: Pteropus alecto (black flying fox)
Lineage: Eukaryota; Metazoa; Chordata; Mammalia; Chiroptera; Pteropodidae
Source: RNAcentral
GUCUACGGCCAUGCCUCCCUGAACGAGCCUGAUGUCUGAUCUCAGAAGCUCUAAGCAGGGUUGGGUCUGGUUAGUACUUGGAUGGGAGACCACCUAGGAAGACCAGGUGCUAUAGGCC